GAACCGUGCGAACGUUGUUCGGAAUCACUGGGCUUAAAGGGCGCGUAGGGCGGCUUGCCAAGUCAGAGGUGAAAUCUUUCGGCUCAACCGAAAAAGUGCCUUUGAUACUGGCAGGCUUGAGGGAGGUAGGGGCAUGUGGAACUGGUGGUGGAGCGGUGAAAUGCGUUGAUAUCACUAGGAACGCCGGUGGCGAAAGCGACGUGCUGGCCCUCUUCUGACGCUGAGGCGCGAAAGCCAGGGUAGCGAACGGGAUUAGAUACCCCGGUAGUCCUGGCCCUAAACGAUGGGUACUAGGUAGUGGACUUAACAUGGGUUCACUGCCGAAGCAAAAGUGUUAAGUACCCCGCCUGGGGAGUAUGGUCGCAAAGGCCGA
Molecule: ribosomal RNA, 373 nt
Filed under: uncultured organism
Description: partial 16S ribosomal RNA
Rfam family: Bacterial small subunit ribosomal RNA
Source: RNAcentral